Molecule: ribosomal RNA, 514 nt
Filed under: uncultured bacterium
Lineage: Bacteria
Description: partial 16S ribosomal RNA
Rfam family: Bacterial small subunit ribosomal RNA
Source: RNAcentral
GACGAACGCUGGCGGCGUGCCUAACACAUGCAAGUCGAACGGAGAAUCAGUAAUGGUUCUUAGUGGCGAACGGGUGAGUAACGCGUAGACAACCUGCCUUUUAGAUGGGGACAACACUGCGAAAGUGGUGCUAAUACCGAAUGUUGUAACUUUGUUGCAUGACAGAGUUACUAAAGAUGGACUCUAUAUAUAAGCUAUCACUAAAAGAUGGGUCUGCGUCUGAUUAGCUAGUUGGUGAGGUAAUGGCUCACCAAGGCGACGAUCAGUAGCCGGUCUGAGAGGAUGAACGGCCACACUGGGACUGAGACACGGCCCAGACUCCUACGGGAGGCAGCAGUGGGGAAUCUUCCGCAAUGGACGAAAGUCUGACGGAGCAACGCCGCGUGAGUGAAGAAGGUUUUCGGAUCGUAAAGCUCUGUCUUUGGGGACGAACGUGCUUUUUGUGAAUAAUGAGAAGUAAUGACGGUACCUGAGGAGGAAGCCACGGCUAACUACGUGCCAGCCGCCGCAGUAA